GGUUGGGUGGCUGAGUAAAGGUGUGAGAUUGUAAAUCUCCCUAGGGAAGCUGACCUUCCCUCAACCA
RNAcentral lists this transfer RNA (67 nucleotides) under Phallusia mammillata. RNAcentral describes it as "transfer RNA-Tyr". Lineage: Eukaryota; Metazoa; Chordata; Ascidiacea; Phlebobranchia; Ascidiidae. The record is from RNAcentral.